CUUUUUCUUCGAUUUGGACUCUAAGAAAAAAUUACGCUGUUAUCCCCAAGGUAAUUUUUCUUUUAAUCUUAAAAAAAGGAUCAUUUUAUUCCACUUAUUAAUGAAAUUAAAAAUAAAAAAAGUUAAUUAAAUUUUUCAAUCACCCCAAUCAAAUACUUUUUUACUAAAAUAAAUUUAUAUUUCCAUAUUUUAUUUUUAUAAAUAAAUAUUAAACUCUAUGGGGUCUUCUCGUCUUUUAUAAAAAUUUAAGCUUUUUAACUUAAAAAUAAAAUUCAAAAUUCUUAGAUUGAGACAGCUAUUUUUUCAUCAAACCUUUCAUUCCAGCUUUCAAUUAAAAAACUAAUGAUUAUGCUACCUUAGCACAGUCAAAAUACCGCGGCCGUUAAA
This 387-nucleotide ribosomal RNA is filed under the name Ips typographus. RNAcentral's name for it is "partial 16S ribosomal RNA". The record is from RNAcentral. Lineage: Eukaryota; Metazoa; Arthropoda; Insecta; Coleoptera; Curculionidae.